GACGAACGCUGGCGGCGUGCUUAACACAUGCAAGUCGAACGCUGAAGCUCAGCUUUUGUUGGGUGGAUGAGUGGCGAACGGGUGAGUAACACGUGAGUAACCUGCCUCCUUCUUUGGGAUAACGCCCGGAAACGGGUGCUAAUACUGGAUAUUCACUGGUCUUCGCAUGGGGGUUGGUGGAAAGGGUUUUUCUGGUGGGGGAUGGGCUCGCGGCCUAUCAGCUUGUUGGUGGGGUGAUGGCCUACCAAGGCUUUGACGGGUAGCCGGCCUGAGAGGGUGACCGGUGACAUUGGGACUGAGAUACGGCCCAGACUCCUACGGGAGGCAGCAGUGGGGAAUAUUGCACAAUGGGCGCAAGCCUGAUGCAGCGACGCCGCGUGAGGGAUGGAGGCCUUCGGGUUGUGAACCUCUUUCGCUCAUGGUCAAGCCGCAACAAUGGUUGUGGUGAGGGUAGUGGGUAAAGAAGCGCCGGCUAACUACGUG
Molecule: ribosomal RNA, 483 nt
Filed under: uncultured bacterium
Lineage: Bacteria
Description: partial 16S ribosomal RNA
Rfam family: Bacterial small subunit ribosomal RNA
Source: RNAcentral